Molecule: ribosomal RNA, 1247 nt
Filed under: Pseudomonas monteilii
Lineage: Bacteria; Pseudomonadati; Pseudomonadota; Gammaproteobacteria; Pseudomonadales; Pseudomonadaceae
Description: partial 23S ribosomal RNA
Rfam family: Bacterial large subunit ribosomal RNA
Source: RNAcentral
UUUGAGAUUAGUGGAACGCUCUGGAAAGUGCGGCCAUAGUGGGUGAUAGCCCCGUACACGAAAAUCUCUUGUCAAUGAAAUCGAGUAGGACGGAGCACGAGAAACUUUGUCUGAAUAUGGGGGGACCAUCCUCCAAGGCUAAAUACUACUGACUGACCGAUAGUGAACCAGUACCGUGAGGGAAAGGCGAAAAGAACCCCGGAGAGGGGAGUGAAAUAGAACCUGAAACCGUAUGCGUACAAGCAGUGGGAGCCUACUUUGUUAGGUGACUGCGUACCUUUUGUAUAAUGGGUCAGCGACUUAUAUUCAGUGGCGAGCUUAACCGAAUAGGGGAGGCGUAGCGAAAGCGAGUCUUAAUAGGGCGUUUAGUCGCUGGGUAUAGACCCGAAACCGGGCGAUCUAUCCAUGGGCAGGUUGAAGGUUAGGUAACACUGACUGGAGGACCGAACCGACUACCGUUGAAAAGUUAGCGGAUGACCUGUGGAUCGGAGUGAAAGGCUAAUCAAGCUCGGAGAUAGCUGGUUCUCCUCGAAAGCUAUUUAGGUAGCGCCUCAUGUAUCACUGUAGGGGGUAGAGCACUGUUUCGGCUAGGGGGUCAUCCCGACUUACCAAACCGAUGCAAACUCCGAAUACCUACAAGUGCCGAGCAUGGGAGACACACGGCGGGUGCUAACGUCCGUCGUGAAAAGGGAAACAACCCAGACCGUCAGCUAAGGUCCCAAAGUCAUGGUUAAGUGGGAAACGAUGUGGGAAGGCUUAGACAGCUAGGAGGUUGGCUUAGAAGCAGCCACCCUUUAAAGAAAGCGUAAUAGCUCACUAGUCGAGUCGGCCUGCGCGGAAGAUGUAACGGGGCUCAAACCAUGCACCGAAGCUACGGGUAUCAUCUUAUGAUGAUGCGGUAGAGGAGCGUUCUGUAAGCCUGUGAAGGUGAGUUGAGAAGCUUGCUGGAGGUAUCAGAAGUGCGAAUGCUGACAUGAGUAACGACAAUGCGAGUGAAAAACUCGCACGCCGAAAGACCAAGGUUUCCUGCGCAACGUUAAUCGACGCAGGGUUAGUCGGUCCCUAAGGCGAGGCUGAAAAGCGUAGUCGAUGGAAAACAGGUUAAUAUUCCUGUACUUCCAGUUAUUGCGAUGGAGGGACGGAGAAGGUUAGGCCAGCCUGGCGUUGGUUGUCCAGGUUUAAGGUGGUAGGCUGAAAUCUUAGGCAAAUCCGGGAUUUCAAGGCCGAGAGCUGAUGACGAGUUGCCU